AACGAACGCUGGCGGCAGGCCUAACACAUGCAAGUCGAACGCCCUCUUCGGAGGGAGUGGCAGACGGGUGAGUAACGCGUGGGAAUCUACCUAGAAGUUUGGGAUAACUAUUAGAAAUAGUAGCUAAUACCGAAUACACCCCGAGGGGGAAAGUUGACUUUUAGUCUUCGCUUUUAGAUGAGCCCAUGUUAAAUUAGUUAGUUGGUGGGAUAACAGCCUACCAAGACGAUGAUUUAUAGCUGGUCUUAGAGGAUGAUCAGCCACACUGGAAUUGAGAUACGGUUCAGACUCCUACGGGAGGCAGCAGUGGGGGAAUAUUGGACAAUGGGGCGCAAGCCUGAUCCAGUCAUGCCACGUGAGUGAUGAAGGUCUUAGGAUCGUAAAACUCUUUUAGCAGGGAAAUAAUGAUGGUACCUGCAGAAAAAGUCUCGGCUAACUUCGUGCCAGCAGCCGCGGUAAU
Molecule: ribosomal RNA, 460 nt
Filed under: uncultured bacterium
Lineage: Bacteria
Description: bacterial SSU rRNA
Rfam family: Bacterial small subunit ribosomal RNA
Source: RNAcentral